AGCAAAGGUGAGAAAGAGAGAGAGAAGGGAGAGAUUUGAAAAUACUAUGCUGCUGGCUCUGAAGCUGGAGGAAGGAACCAGGAUCCAAGGGGGAAAUGCAGCCUCUAGAAGCUGGAAAGAAACAUUUGAAAUUAAAAUAAAGUGUCCUUCAAUCAACUAUGAGUGAAGACAGAUUGACACAUCUCACUAUCCUGAUUCUAUCCACCAUGAAUAUGUGAAGAUCAGUUUGACAAAGCCAUUGACAAAUUUGCAGAAGUGAAGGCUCAAAGCCAGAAACUGCAAUGGGAUUAUUCAUCACCCUGGAAAAUCAACAUUUGAAGCCUUGCUGCUGGAAGAAGACAGGAAAGUCCUCUUGGCCUGGCUCCAAAGCCCUGUAUCCAAUCCAUGUUUCUGACCAUGGCCCUCUUUCCCUCAUCAUUUACACGUGGCAGGAACUGGUGACUCCUGACCAUCCGUGUGGACCUUCUCCUUGAUGAGCUGAUGACUUUUAGGCCGUUGGGAACCCGUGGUGCCCUCUAACAACUGCAAACAUUUCUUGGUGUGCCUCAUAAACAUAUACUCUUCCUGUUGGAAGAUCUAUGUGGCCGUGGGGAAAGUCUUAAAGAGAGGAAGGGAGAGGAAUAAAGAGUCAGAAACAUCGAUCAGCUGCCUCCUGCACACCUUCUACUGGGGAUGUGCCCACAACCAAGAAUUAUUCUGCUUAUUGGGGAAAGAAGACAUGAGCAUUCUGCCAUCAGCUCCUAGCAAAGCUGGCAAGAAAGACUUUCUUAUAUAUUUCUGAACUAAGAAAAUACGUAAGAAGAACACAGAAAAGAUGCCACUACUUGGGAGAAGCAGACAAACCAGAAUUUCUGUUCUUUUUUUUUUUUUCUUCUCUUUAUCAUGAAAAGACAACCAUUUCAAU
Eptesicus fuscus (big brown bat) is the source of this 904-nucleotide long non-coding RNA. RefSeq lists it as uncharacterized. The transcript is spliced from 7 exons. Lineage: Eukaryota; Metazoa; Chordata; Mammalia; Chiroptera; Vespertilionidae. The record is from RefSeq and is a predicted model, not a curated record.